Molecule: ribosomal RNA, 468 nt
Filed under: uncultured bacterium
Lineage: Bacteria
Description: partial 16S ribosomal RNA
Rfam family: Bacterial small subunit ribosomal RNA
Source: RNAcentral
GAUGAACGCUGGCGGCGUGCUUAACACAUGCAAGUCGAACGGAAAGGCCCUGCUUUUGUGGGGUGCUCGAGUGGCGAACGGGUGAGUAACACGUGAGUAACCUGCUCUUGACUUUGGGAUAACUUAAGGAAACUGGGGCUAAUACCGGAUAGGAGAUCCUGUUGGAUGGUGGGGGGUGGAUAGUUUCGGCGGUCGGGGAUGGACUCGCGGCUUAUGAGCUUGUUGGUGGGGUAGUGGCUUACCAAGGCUUUGACGGGUAGCCGGCCUGAGAGGGUGACCGGCCACAUUGGGACUGAGAUACGGCCCAGACUCCUACGGGAGACAGCAGUCGGGAAUAUUGCACAAUGGGCGGAAGCCUGAUGCAGCAACGCCGCGUGCGGGAUGACGGCCUUCGGGUUGUAAACCGCUUUCGCCUGUGACGAAGCGUGAGUGACGGUAAUGAGUAAAGAAGCACCGGCUAACUACGUG